RNAcentral lists this ribosomal RNA (158 nucleotides) under uncultured bacterium. Its description in RNAcentral is "partial 16S ribosomal RNA". It matches the Rfam family "Bacterial small subunit ribosomal RNA", at positions 356 to 506 of the family's 1533-position model. The record is from RNAcentral.
AGGGAAUCUUCCGCAAUGGACGAAAGUCUGACGGAGCAACGCCGCGUGAGUGAUGAAGGUUUUCGGAUCGUAAAACUCUGUUGUUAGGGAAGAACAAGUACCGGAGUAACUGCCGGUACCUUGACGGUACCUAACCAGAAAGCCACGGCUAACUACGU